UGGUCUGGAAAUAAAUUAAAAAAAAACGGCGGACGCCAAUGCCGCCAUCUUCUAUCGUGUCGUGCGUGCUGUGCUGCUGUGUGAACUUGGAAAUAAAUCCGCUAGCUGAAGCUAGCUGACCGGAUCGGAAAAAUGGUUCAGGGUUCUUUUUGUUGCCCCAUGCCCCAUCAUCUGCCGCCAUCCUGGACAAGUCGGCGAUCAAUAACAGGACCCGGCCUGCGAGCAAUGGCCAAUGAAGUCUAUCCCAGUGCCACGUCAUCAAGUCAUCACGCAGUCGUCGGGUGCAAAUGACGCGGCGGAUCUUUCUCAAGCUUAGAAAGAUGGUUGUGGCCCAGAGCCCCGCUACUUCGUGCCAGGCCAUUCUCCAACUGCAGAUCCAUGUGUCAUCGCGACAGUGCACUCACUCACCUUGUUUGGCCCGAUGGAAUUUGGUAUGUCACCUGAGGCGAGGAGUAGGUGCGUGUGCGAACGGCCUUAGUGACGCCUCUACAGCGCGACGGGUGUAUUCUCCUCAAAUAUGAGAAGGAGCUCGGGUCCUGCGGGCUCUUAACCGUCGUAGUAUUCACGCAGUGUUUUAAAAUAGUGUUUGUGUGUAUUAUGAUAACAUAUGUUCAAUUCAAAUGUCUAACACUACAUAAGUAUACAUAUCAUUUUUCAUUAGUAUGGUGCUGUUUUUGCGGUCUGAAGAAAAACUUCAAA
Molecule: long non-coding RNA, 699 nt
Organism: Leguminivora glycinivorella
Lineage: Eukaryota; Metazoa; Arthropoda; Insecta; Lepidoptera; Tortricidae
Exons: 4
Source: RefSeq, a predicted model, not a curated record